ACCCGCUGAACUUAAGCAUAUCAAUAAGCGGAGGAAAAGAAACCAACAGGGAUUGCCCUAGUAACGGCGAGUGAAGCGGCAACAGCUCAAAUUUGAAAUCUGGCGUCUUUGGCGUCCGAGUUGUAAUUUGCAGAGGGCGCUUUGGCAUUGGCAGCGGUCCAAGUUCCUUGGAACAGGACGUCACAGAGGGUGAGAAUCCCGUACGUGGUCGCUAGCCUUUACCGUGUAAAGCCCCUUCGACGAGUCGAGUUGUUUGGGAAUGCAGCUCUAAAUGGGAGGUAAAUUUCUUCUAAAGCUAAAUACUGGCCAGAGACCGAUAGCGCACAAGUAGAGUGAUCGAAAGAUGAAAAGCACUUUGGAAAGAGAGUUAAAAAGCACGUGAAAUUGUUGAAAGGGAAGCGCUUGCAGCCAGACUUGCCUGUAGUUGCUCAUCCGGGUUUUUACCCGGUGCACUCUUCUAUAGGCAGGCCAGCAUCAGUUUGGGCGGUUGGAUAAAGGCCUUGGGAAUGUAGCUUCUUUCGGGGAGUGUUAUAGCCCUCGGUGCAAUGCAGCCUACCGGGACCGAGGACCGCGCUUCGGCUAGGAUGCUGGCGUAAUGGUUGU
Molecule: ribosomal RNA, 603 nt
Filed under: uncultured fungus
Lineage: Eukaryota; Fungi
Description: eukaryotic LSU rRNA
Rfam family: Eukaryotic large subunit ribosomal RNA
Source: RNAcentral